AUGAGAAGAGAUGGGCAUGAAGGUGAUGGGAGAACGCAAGGACAAGACGAACCUAGUAUGUUUGGGCCAGAUGAUGACGAUGGUGCAAAGAUUCCUACUCAGGUGGAAACUCUUGUUAGAGGCACUGCAAUAGUUGAUGCUCCAGAAUACAAGCCGCUCCCAGAUCUCGAUUACCUUCAGGAAUUGCUGGCUAUUCAGCAGCAAGGACCCCGAUCAAUAGGUUUCUUUGGUACCCGCAACAUGGGGUAUAUGCAUCAACAACUUAUUGAGAUCUUGAGUUAUGCCAUGGUCAUAACAAAAAAUCAUAUAUUCACAUCUGGUGCUUCUGGGACUAACGCAGCUGUUAUUAGGGGUGCUUUGAGAGCUGAGAAGCCAGAAUUGCUUACCGUAAUUUUGCCUCAAAGUCUAAAGAAGCAACCUCCUGAAAGCCAAGAGCUAUUAUCCAAAGUACAAAACUUGAUUGAGAAACCUCAGUAUGACCAUUUACCACUAAUUGAGGCUAGCAGGUUAUGCAACAUGGACAUCAUCUCGAAGGUCCAACAGGUGAUAUGCUUUGCGUUUCAUGACAGCAGGCUGCUGAUGGAGACCUGCCAGGAGGCAAAGAACAUGCGGAAGAUCGUAACGCUCUUCUACUUGGAUUAG
RNAcentral lists this ribosomal RNA (642 nucleotides) under Triticum aestivum (bread wheat). RNAcentral describes it as "partial small subunit ribosomal RNA". The record is from RNAcentral. Lineage: Eukaryota; Viridiplantae; Streptophyta; Magnoliopsida; Poales; Poaceae.